UGAAGUUACUUACUUUUUUUGUUAUCCCAAGAUCGUAUUGAAAGUACGCAGAAAAAUAAUUUACUUCAAAAGGUGGAUAAUUAUCUUCAACAUUGUUUUCGUGAAGACUAAGACACUGGGAUUUUACACCCAACCAAAAAUUAUUUCCGUAAUAAAAACCAGGUUUCGGUAUUCCACUUGAAUCUAACACUAUUUAAUUGUAGGAAAAAAUAAAAACAAAUAUAAAUAAAUAAUAAUAUAAUAAUAACUAAUGAACGGACUUUAAUGCCUUAAAAAAAUGCUUUUAGAUCAUAAAAAUGAACAAUAAUUUGAUAACUAAUAGUUUUGAACA
Non-coding RNA from Cinara cedri, 331 nucleotides. Lineage: Eukaryota; Metazoa; Arthropoda; Insecta; Hemiptera; Aphididae. The record is from the annotation of a GenBank genome assembly.